CACAGAUCUAUACAGGGUUACAACCCACAGCCCAGUCCAAUCAGGGAUGUGUCUAUGGAGAUGUCCUGGCUAGUCUUCAAAACAACCCUGCAAAGAUGGCUCAGCAGAAGGGUAUCUUGCUCAGGCUGCCUAUCUGAGCAAAGAGGUUGGCCUGAAAGUCCUACUAUUACCUGUCGCCUCCAUUCUUGGACUCCGUCAGCAGCCAUCCAUCCUGAAAAAGGGCCUCAAAUAUAAACGUCUGCCUAAGCUUGGUCCCAC
Molecule: long non-coding RNA, 258 nt
Organism: Gekko japonicus
Lineage: Eukaryota; Metazoa; Chordata; Lepidosauria; Squamata; Gekkonidae
Exons: 3
Source: RefSeq, a predicted model, not a curated record